AGUGAACGCUGGCGGUAGGCCUAACACAUGCAAGUCGAACGGCAGCACAGUAAGAGCUUGCUCUUACGGGUGGCGAGUGGCGGACGGGUGAGGAAUACAUCGGAAUCUACUUUUUCGUGGGGGAUAACGUAGGGAAACUUACGCUAAUACCGCAUACGACCUACGGGUGAAAGCAGGGGAUCUUCGGACCUUGCGCGAUUGAAUGAGCCGAUGUCGGAUUAGCUAGUUGGCGGGGUAAAGGCCCACCAAGGCGACGAUCCGUAGCUGGUCUGAGAGGAUGAUCAGCCGCACUGGAACUGAGACACGGUCCAGACUCCUGCGGGAGGCAGCAGUGGGGAAUAUUGGACAAUAGGCGCAAGCCUGAUCCAGCCAUACCGCGUGGGUGAAGAAGGCCUUCGGGUUGUGAAGCCCUUUUGUUGGGAAAGAAAAGCAGCAGGUUAAUACCCCGCUGUUCUGACGGUACCCAAAAAAUAAGCACCGGCUAACUUCGUG
Molecule: ribosomal RNA, 492 nt
Filed under: uncultured bacterium
Lineage: Bacteria
Description: partial 16S ribosomal RNA
Rfam family: Bacterial small subunit ribosomal RNA
Source: RNAcentral